AGAGGAGAGUGGAAUUCCACGUGUAGCGGUGAAAUGCGUAGAGAUGUGGAGGAACACCAGUGGCGAAGGCGACUCUCUGGUCUGUAACUGACGCUGAGGAGCGAAAGCGUGGGGAGCGAACAGGAUUAGAUACCCUGGUAGUGCACGCCGUAAACGAUGAGUGCUAAGUGUUAGGGGGUUUCCGCCCCUUAGUGCUGCAGCUAACGCAUUAAGCACUCCGCCUGGGGAGUACGGUCGCAAGACUGAAACUCAAAGGAAUUGACGGGGGCCCGCACAAGCGGUGGAGCAUGUGGUUUAAUUCGAAGCAACGCGAAGAACCUUACCAGGUCUUGACAUCCUCUGACAAUCCUAGAGAUAGGACGUCCCCUUCGGGGGCAGAGUGACAGGUGGUGCAUGGUUGUCGUCAGCUCGUGUCGUGAGAUGUUGGGUUAAGUCCCGCAACGAGCGCAACCCUUGAUCUUAGUUGCCAGCAUUCAGUUGGGCACUCUAAGGUGACUGCCGGUGACAAACCGGAGGAAGGUGGGGAUGACGUCAAAUCAUCAUGCCCCUUAUGACCUGGGCUACACACGUGCUACAAUGGACAGAACAAAGGGCAGCGAAACCGCGAGGUUAAGCCAAUCCCACAAAUCUGUUCUCAGUUCGGAUCGCAGUCUGCAACUCGAUUGCGUGAAGCUGGAAUCGCUAGUAAUCGCGGAUCAGCAUGCCGCGGUGAAUAC
Molecule: ribosomal RNA, 716 nt
Filed under: Bacillus nakamurai
Lineage: Bacteria; Bacillati; Bacillota; Bacilli; Caryophanales; Bacillaceae
Description: bacterial SSU rRNA
Rfam family: Bacterial small subunit ribosomal RNA
Source: RNAcentral